RNAcentral lists this ribosomal RNA (220 nucleotides) under uncultured bacterium. Its description in RNAcentral is "partial 16S ribosomal RNA". It matches the Rfam family "Bacterial small subunit ribosomal RNA", at positions 135 to 353 of the family's 1533-position model. The record is from RNAcentral.
ACAGGGGGAUAAUCCGAAGAAAUUUGGUCUAAUACCCCAUAAUACCGAUAUAGGCAUCUAUGUUGGUUGAAAGCUUUGGUGGUGUCAGAUGGGCAUGCGUUGUAUUAGCUAGUUGGUGAGGUAACGGCUCACCAAGGCGACGAUACAUAGGGGGACUGAGAGGUUAACCCCCCCACACUGGUACUGAGACACGGACCAGACUCCUACGGGAGGCAGCAUG